GGGGCUGUCCUGGUUUCGACGUGGGUUCGGAAUCGGUGCGGUGCAUGUCGAGCUUGAGUGAUGCUCGUAAAUCUCCAUUCACUAAAGUAACUGCAAACGACGAACGUUUCGCACUCGCCGCUUAAAUCCGGUGAGCCUUGCAACAGCACGCUGAUGGGCUGGGCAAGGGGGUAGUGAUACCUCCAGGCUGCAAGGGAAUUCACAUCAGCUGGCCGUCUGCCGGGUACCUUGGCAGAGGGUGAGAUUAAAGGGUGCUGGCUGUCGGCAUAGCGUGCGUCUGCGCGAUGCCGACGGCGAGAUUCAAAACAGAGCGCUAAACAUGUAGAUCUGCUCGACGAAGGCUUGCGGACGCGGGUUCAAUUCCCGCCAGCUCCACCA
Molecule: non-coding RNA, 378 nt
Organism: Comamonadaceae bacterium SCN 68-20
Lineage: Bacteria; Pseudomonadati; Pseudomonadota; Betaproteobacteria; Burkholderiales; Comamonadaceae
Source: Rfam